This 328-nucleotide long non-coding RNA is filed under the name Salvia miltiorrhiza (redroot sage). RNAcentral's name for it is "long non-coding RNA (SMIL_LNC001346)". Lineage: Eukaryota; Viridiplantae; Streptophyta; Magnoliopsida; Lamiales; Lamiaceae. The record is from RNAcentral.
UUUUGGUUCCAUGCCUUUGAAUCUCAUGCGUAACCCUUUCUUUAAGAGAGACUUAACCGCACUGCCGCUUCUCCAUAGUGACGCCGUCGAAUGCCACCACACCCAUACCAUCAUCUUCCUUGAUUUGCUAAGGUAACCACCAGCUAAUAGUUGAUUUGCUAUUCUUCUUCGUUAUUUUGAUUUCAUUAUUGUCAUGGAAACUUUAACAUAGAUGAAUGAGAAGAAAGUUCAACAAUUUCUUUCAAGAAGUGCUAGAAUAGGCGGGAGAAGAAGAAGAAGAGGACAAAGAAGAAGAAAUCAGCAAUCUUUCCAUCUUCCAGAACAAAUC